RNAcentral lists this ribosomal RNA (253 nucleotides) under uncultured bacterium. RNAcentral describes it as "partial 16S ribosomal RNA". It matches the Rfam family "Bacterial small subunit ribosomal RNA", at positions 524 to 776 of the family's 1533-position model. The record is from RNAcentral.
UACGAAGGGGGCUAGCGUUGUUCGGAAUUACUGGGCGUAAAGGGCGCGUAGGCGGUGCCUCAAGUCAGGCGUGAAAGCCCCGGGCUCAACCUGGGAACCGCGCUUGAGACUGCAGUACUAGAGCUCGGGAGAGGAUGGUGGAAUUCCCAGUGUAGAGGUGAAAUUCGUAGAUAUUGGGAAGAACACCGAUGGCGAAGGCAGCCAUCUGGACCGACACUGACGCUGAGGCGCGAAAGCGUGGGGAGCAAACAGG